Non-coding RNA from Lolium perenne, 768 nucleotides. Lineage: Eukaryota; Viridiplantae; Streptophyta; Magnoliopsida; Poales; Poaceae. The record is from RefSeq and is a predicted model, not a curated record.
UCACGUUGGAGCUCAACUCCGCCUUUCUCCACCUGCUCUGUUUGUUGUCUUCUUCCUCCCUGCGCGCACGCCUCCACUCGCUGUGCCGUGGCUCCGCAUCGCACCUCGUCCUCCCUUAAAGUGUCCCCUCCUGCUCCCCAGCAAAACCCUAGCCCGCAUCCUUUCCAUCCUCGUGCCGCCGCCCCUUCUUUCCCCUCGACCACGCAAACAAGCGAGACCAAAGUUUCAGAGAAAACACCGAACACCUCCGCCGCAGCAUCACCGUCGCCCGUCGUGUCCGACCACCUUUCGCUGAACCAAGGCCACCACGAGUUUCUCCUCGUCACGCUGAAGCUCCUCUACACGCGCGCGCCUCCAAUCAGCCACGAAAUCGACGCCCAAAUCGUCGUUCUCCGCUCCGGCCGCCACGCACCGGCGAGGUCUCCGACCGCCUCCGACCUGCUCCGUCCUUUCCGAGACCAUCAGUGUGUUCCUGGUUUUCAUCGGAGUUCUUCUAGUCCUUGCCGUCGUCAUGGUCGCCGUCGCGCUGGGCUAGGGCCGGGUUCGCGUUUCCCAACAUCUCCUCGUUCGAUUCCGACCAGUAGCGCAGCUCGGAAGCCUCACCCUCGACUUCCUCUUCCUCGACACCGAUGGACGCUGUCCCUGCUUCGCCUCCCUGUUCGCCCAGUCUUCAGUUUCGUCAGCAUUUGCUUCUUCUCGGAUAGGAUCGCGAAGUGGUGCGGUGAGAUACGCCAAGUUCUCCGGAUGUUCCUCGGCAAGCUAUAACAG